Molecule: ribosomal RNA, 250 nt
Filed under: uncultured bacterium
Lineage: Bacteria
Description: partial 16S ribosomal RNA
Rfam family: Bacterial small subunit ribosomal RNA
Source: RNAcentral
UUUAGCGGCGGACGGGUGAGUAACGCGUGAGCAAUCUGGCCUAUACAGGGGGAUAACACAGGGAAACUUGUACUAAUACCGCAUAAUCUCCUUUGGUCGCAUGACCGAGGGAAGAAAGUGGCAACACGGUAAAGGGGGAGCUCGCGUUCUAUUAGAUAGUUGGUGAGGUAACGGCUCACCAAGUCAACGAUAGAUAGCCGACCUAAGAGGGUGAUCGGCCACACUGGAACUGAGACACGGUCCAGACUUC